RNAcentral lists this long non-coding RNA (1574 nucleotides) under Homarus americanus (American lobster). Its description in RNAcentral is "uncharacterized LOC121878480". The record is from RNAcentral. Lineage: Eukaryota; Metazoa; Arthropoda; Malacostraca; Decapoda; Nephropidae.
UAUUUUAUGUUUAUUGUUUGCAGGUAAAAGGCUAAAAUCUUUGUAUAGUGAGGAAGCGCAGCACCUGAAGGACCUCAUGACCCGAACACUCACCCUGGGAGAGAGCAACUCAGCCCUUGUACUUGCUGCAAGGGGCAUGGGCAAAUCAUCUCUGGUAAAUACUGUAAUAGAGAAGCUGGAGGCUUCAGGCACACUGGGUGAGGGAGUGGUUGUCAGACUGUCGGGACUCCUGCAGACAGAUGACAGGCUGGCCCUCAAAGAGAUAACCUGCCAGCUGAAACUGGAGAAUGCAACUGCUAAUAAAGUGUUUGGUUCUUUUGCUGAAAAUUUAGCCUUUCUUUUGGAAUCUCUCCGCUGUGGAAGUAAAGAAACAUCCAAACCUGUCAUAUUUAUCUUGGAUGAAUUUGAUCUGUUCUGCCAUCAUCGCAACCAAACACUUCUGUACAACCUCUUUGAUGUUGCCCAGUCUGCACAGGUAGGUAAAACAUUUCUAAACAAAAGAAACAUACCCACUGUAAGACUUAUCCAUAUUUUGUAUUUUUUUUUUUUGUUCAGUGUUAACUAAAGAGAAGCACCAUAGCAGGACAUAUCUGUUGCAGCAUUUAGAGAUACUAAAUGAUGGAAGGGUAUAAAUUUAUCCUUGCUUCUGGCAAACCUAUUUCAUAAUAUAACAAUCUUUAUUCACUCACAUGAUGCAUAACUAUUGUAGCUGUGUGGCAUUGUAAGGGAUCAUCCAGUUUCAAUAUAAUUUGCAGUCUUUACUAAAUUUCCUCUAUUAAUUACAUAUGAAGUAUUUUUGCUGUGUUCCUAUAGAGGGGAGUGGAAGUUACCUAUUCAUUUUGGGGUCACUGGAUUAAAUGUCAAGUUAUUAAAAUUUUACAGUUUUUUCCUUAUUUACCAGAGGCAUUCUAAUAAUGUUUUAUUUUGUGAGAAUUAAUUACAAAAAUUAAAUAAGCCAUGCUCCAAUAUACAGUACAUACAGUAGAUAUAUAAUCACUGCUCUGUGCAUACUUGCUCAAAUAUGCUUGCAAGUUCUUAAAGCACUGUAAAGUACAUCUUUUAGAAAAUCAAGGGUCAGAAAUAUUGAAAUUAUGAUUAUCAUUUAAUAGGGAUAAGUGGGACAUUUGUCUCUCUUGCCCAUUAGUGCCGUGUUCCUCUUUUUAUGCUUUGUAUGCAUCUGUGUUCAAAGAGGUAUUACUGUCAGAUUUUAUCCAUUUUUAAUUAAUAUUACUCUAUAUCAUUAUGUGAAUAUAUAUGAAACUAGAUCCUCCAAAAUGUAUUUGUUAUGUGUUGUAUACAAUGAACGACAAAACUAUCUCCCCAUUUUUGGGUAAAUAUACCGCGAAAAACUCGAGCCUUCUAACAUGCUCUCUGGGAAACUUUUGAAUAGUUAGUGGGUCUGGAGAGGGUGAUCCUGAGUUUACAGGUGCAUAAUUUAACUCAGGUAGGGUAAAUACUGUACCUUUGUAUUAAGAUAGGUAAUAAAUUGAUGGAGAAGGUUUGGCUAUAAGGGAGGUUGGAGGCCAUAGGAAAAAAUCUCUAGUACAGUGGUCCCUCGGUUAACGAGCGCCUCG